This 532-nucleotide ribosomal RNA is filed under the name Pestalotiopsis sp. 2 S94. RNAcentral's name for it is "eukaryotic LSU rRNA". The stretch from base 167 to 320 matches the Rfam family "5.8S ribosomal RNA". Lineage: Eukaryota; Fungi; Ascomycota; Sordariomycetes; Amphisphaeriales; Sporocadaceae. The record is from RNAcentral.
UUGGGUGACGCGGAGGGACAUUAUAGAGUUUUCUAAACUCCCAACCCAUGUGAACUUACCUUUUGUUGCCUCGGCAGAAGUUAUAGGUCUUCUUAUAGCUGCUGCCGGUGGACCAUUAAACUCUUGUUAUUUUAUGUAAUCUGAGCGUCUUAUUUUAAUAAGUCAAAACUUUCAACAACGGAUCUCUUGGUUCUGGCAUCGAUGAAGAACGCAGCGAAAUGCGAUAAGUAAUGUGAAUUGCAGAAUUCAGUGAAUCAUCGAAUCUUUGAACGCACAUUGCGCCCAUUAGUAUUCUAGUGGGCAUGCCUGUUCGAGCGUCAUUUCAACCCUUAAGCCUAGCUUAGUGUUGGGAAUCUACUUCUCUUAGGAGUUGUAGUUCCUGAAAUACAACGGCGGAUUUGUAGUAUCCUCUGAGCGUAGUAAUUUUUUUCUCGCUUUUGUUAGGUGCUAUAACUCCCAGCCGCUAAACCCCCAAUUUUUUGUGGUUGACCUCGGAUCAGGUAGGAAUACCCGCUGAACUUAAGCAUAUAAA